RNAcentral lists this ribosomal RNA (400 nucleotides) under uncultured bacterium. RNAcentral describes it as "bacterial SSU rRNA". It matches the Rfam family "Bacterial small subunit ribosomal RNA", at positions 30 to 430 of the family's 1533-position model. The record is from RNAcentral.
AUUGAACGCUGGCGGCAUGCUUUACACAUGCAAGUCGAACGGUAACAGGGAGCUUGCUCCGCUGACGAGUGGCGAACGGGUGAGUAAUGCGUCGGAACGUGCCGAGUAGUGGGGGAUAACGCAUCGAAAGGUGUGCUAAUACCGCAUACGUACUGAGGUAGAAAGUUGGGGGACCUUCGGGCCUCACGCUAUUCGAGCGGCCGACGUCUGAUUAGCUAGUUGGUGAGGUAAAAGGCUCACCAAGGCGACGAUCAGUAGCGGGUCUGAGAGGAUGAUCCGCCACACUGGGACUGAGACACGGCCCAGACUCCUACGGGAGGCAGCAGUGGGGAAUUUUGGACAAUGGGCGCAAGCCUGAUCCAGCCAUGCCGCGUGUCUGAAGAAGGCCUCGGUUGUAAGG